RNAcentral lists this ribosomal RNA (374 nucleotides) under uncultured Glomeromycotina. Its description in RNAcentral is "LSU rRNA". The record is from RNAcentral. Lineage: Eukaryota; Fungi; Glomeromycota.
UUGAAAGGGAAACGAUUGAAGUCAGUCGUACCGACGAGAAAUCAGCUUUUCGAAUGUGCAUUUGUGGGCGUAUAAGAGCUUCACGGCCUUGUUGUUUGCAAUAUGUAUAUUUCUUUGGUGUACUUUUUCGUAUGGUAGGUCAAUGUCGGUUUUGAUUGCCAUAAAAUGACCGGAGGAAUGUAGCUUCGGCCUCGGUUGAAGUGUUAUAGCCUUUGGUAAAUGUGGUGAUUAGGACCGAGGAUUGCAACGAAUACCUUUUAGGCUAUCCGUCUGACCUCUGAAAGUUACUUAGGUGCCGAAAGCUUGCUUACGGUCAUUUAAGUUGACGGUCAAUAGGUUAGAACGUGAUUACAUUCGUUAAGGAUGUUGACGUA